UAUAUUGUAAAAUGAUAACUCCAAACUUCAUCUAUUUAAUAAACCACAAAAGUUCACUUCAUACAUACAUGAACAUUGUGUCACUGGUUAUGACCCAUUGCACUUUAUCAUCAUUGAUCUCUGAAUUAUUUUGACUUCAAUUGAAUAUAGCUUAUAAAAAGAGUUUGCUGUUUGUCUUCUGACCUAUUCUAGACUUUAAUUUAUAUUUGUUUCAAGGUGCAGUUUAUGGAAGUUAAA
Molecule: long non-coding RNA, 237 nt
Filed under: Mytilus galloprovincialis (Mediterranean mussel)
Lineage: Eukaryota; Metazoa; Mollusca; Bivalvia; Mytilida; Mytilidae
Source: RNAcentral